UAAUACCAGCAGUCCAAGUUGCAACCAUUAUUAUUGGGUCUAAAACAUCCGUAGCUUGCUUGAUAAGUUUCUUGUGAAAUCCUAUGUCUCAAGUAUGGGGCGUGCAAGAAAUACUAUCAGGCUAGAGACCGGUAGGUGUGAGAAGUACGUCCGAGGUAGCGGUUAAAUGUGUUAAUCUCGGUUGGACUAACAAUUAGCAAAGGCAUCUCACAAGGACGGAUCUGACAGUGAGGGAUGAAGGCCAGGGGCGCAAAACAGAUUAGAUACCUGUGUAGUCCUGGCAGUAAACGCUGCUCACUAAACAUUGGGCCCUCUUCGGGAGGAUUCAGUGCUGAAGCGAAGGCGAAAAGUGAGCUACCUGGGAAGUAUAGUCGCAAGGUCG
RNAcentral lists this ribosomal RNA (382 nucleotides) under uncultured archaeon. RNAcentral's name for it is "bacterial SSU rRNA". It matches the Rfam family "Archaeal small subunit ribosomal RNA", at positions 471 to 851 of the family's 1478-position model. The record is from RNAcentral.